RNAcentral lists this ribosomal RNA (256 nucleotides) under Escherichia coli. RNAcentral's name for it is "partial 16S ribosomal RNA". It matches the Rfam family "Bacterial small subunit ribosomal RNA", at positions 1 to 251 of the family's 1533-position model. Lineage: Bacteria; Pseudomonadati; Pseudomonadota; Gammaproteobacteria; Enterobacterales; Enterobacteriaceae. The record is from RNAcentral.
UUAAAUUGAAGAGUUUGAUCAUGGCUCAGAUUGAACGCUGGCGGCAGGCCUAACACAUGCAAGUCGAACGGUAACAGGAAGCAGCUUGCUGCUUUGCUGACGAGUGGCGGACGGGUGAGUAAUGUCUGGGAAACUGCCUGAUGGAGGGGGAUMACUACUGGAAACGGUAGCUAAUACCGCAUAACGUCGCAAGACCAAAGAGGGGGACCUUAGGGCCUCUUGCCAUCGGAUGUGCCCAGAUGGGAUUAGCUAGUAG